Molecule: long non-coding RNA, 323 nt
Filed under: Linum usitatissimum (flax)
Lineage: Eukaryota; Viridiplantae; Streptophyta; Magnoliopsida; Malpighiales; Linaceae
Description: long non-coding RNA (LUSI_LNC001064)
Source: RNAcentral
GGUAAUUUUUAAAAUCAAAAGUUGGAAUUUGGUGGAUGAACUCGCUUACUUGAACAGUAAAAUAGGUAAUCGAUAUCCCUUGAGCACAGAGUAGGUAGAACCAAAAAUUAGUAAGAAAGCUGAGUAGGAUAGUUGCUGUCGGUGAUUGUUAUCUGAGCAGUGAGCAGAGCGAGCCUCUGAUUUGACUCUUUCCAAUCCAGCGCAGAGCUUUCAGCCGCUCAAUUGGCCAGUCAAAGUCCAAGUGGAGCGAAGUGUGGACACGCAACUAUAUUUCCUAAAUCUCGCUAUUGGUUUUAAUCCUAAUUCGAUUCAAGAAUGAGAGU